Molecule: non-coding RNA, 45 nt
Organism: Schistosoma margrebowiei
Lineage: Eukaryota; Metazoa; Platyhelminthes; Trematoda; Strigeidida; Schistosomatidae
Source: Rfam
AUCCAGCUAACGAGUCCAAAGUAGGACAAAACGUGCGUUCUGGAU